AUUUUUAUAGUUUAAUAAAAACCUUACAUUUUCAAUGUAAAAAUAAAUAAUAUUUUAAAAAUA
RNAcentral lists this transfer RNA (63 nucleotides) under Stegobium paniceum (drugstore beetle). RNAcentral describes it as "tRNA-Glu". The record is from RNAcentral. Lineage: Eukaryota; Metazoa; Arthropoda; Insecta; Coleoptera; Ptinidae.